CCCUUAGAUGUUCUGGGCAGCACGCGCGCUACAAUGGUCUUCGCAAACGGAUGCAUUCUCGAAGGAGAAUGCCAAUCUUGAAUCUAUGCCUUGGUCGGGACAGUUGCUUGCAAUUUUUCGACUCGAACCAGGAAUUCCUUGUAAUCGUGAUUCAUCACAUCACGAUGAAUACGUCCCUGCCCUUUGUACACACCGCCCGUCGCUCCUACCGAUCGAAGAGUUAGGUGAAUUGUUUUGAUCGAUAAGAUUUGACUAUGGUCAACUCUCGUUGUGAAAUUCUGUGAAUCUGACUGUUUAGAGGAAGGAAAAGUCGUAACA
This 318-nucleotide ribosomal RNA is filed under the name uncultured eukaryote. RNAcentral's name for it is "partial 18S ribosomal RNA". It matches the Rfam family "Eukaryotic small subunit ribosomal RNA", at positions 1470 to 1796 of the family's 1831-position model. The record is from RNAcentral.